RNAcentral lists this ribosomal RNA (372 nucleotides) under uncultured bacterium. RNAcentral's name for it is "bacterial SSU rRNA". It matches the Rfam family "Bacterial small subunit ribosomal RNA", at positions 525 to 896 of the family's 1533-position model. The record is from RNAcentral.
ACGGAGGGGGCUAGCGUUGUUCGGAAUCACUGGGCGUAAAGCGUGCGUAGGCGGCCAUUCAAGUCAGAGGUGAAAGCCCAGGGCUCAACCCUGGAACUGCCUUUGAAACUAGAUGGCUGGAACACGGGAGAGGUGAGUGGAAUUCCGAGUGUAGAGGUGAAAUUCGUAGAUAUUCGGAAGAACACCAGUGGCGAAGGCGGCUCACUGGACCGUUGUUGACGCUGAGGCACGAAAGCGUGGGGAGCAAACAGGAUUAGAUACCCUGGUAGUCCACGCCGUAAACGAUGAUAACUAGCUGUUGGGGCUCUUUGAGCUCCAGUGGCGCAGCUAACGCAUUAAGUUAUCCGCCUGGGGAGUACGGCCGCAAGGUUA